Lineus longissimus is the source of this 3981-nucleotide long non-coding RNA. RefSeq lists it as uncharacterized. Lineage: Eukaryota; Metazoa; Nemertea; Pilidiophora; Heteronemertea; Lineidae. The record is from RefSeq and is a predicted model, not a curated record. The transcript is spliced from 2 exons.
GAUUGUAUAUAUUGUGUUUGAUGCUGUGUAUACCACAUAUUGGGUACAUGUAUAUGUAACACCAGAACGGAUUCGAGGUGCUCAACACAACGCCAGGUGGCCAAUACAAUAUUGAGCGGCUGAUUCCCGCCUCGGGGUGUCUCCAUACUGCAGGAGAGAUUCACCAGUCAUGCCACACGGGAUUGGCGACGAUUAUUACGACCCAAAAACCGAGCCUGAUUCUGAUAUCAAUUGCGUGCGUAGUAAACACACAGCAAAGGAAAUUUCACAAAUAUUGUAAAUCUUGGGCUUUUUGUGGUUUAAUUGAGAGUGUACGGUCAACAACCAUAGGAUAGUUUCAUGUUAGGUGGUCUGAUCCGAGUUAGAAAAUUCGUCAUGUCAACUUUACAUGAACGAUAAACUUCAACAGAACCUCUGAGGCGUGUGAGUGUUACACCUGCGAAUGAUCACCGUCCCUCAAAAGGGUCGGUAAUUACAGGGAGGUGUCAUACUGUAUAGUAGAUAUCGAAAGUGCAGAAUCGAGUUUCUUUAUUCCGCGGACAUUCUAUUGUAGGACAUCUCAAACUUUUACUCCGGGACGCGCGCGUCAAUGGAAACCUGCCCUGCUCAGAUACCACGGAGAUAGAGAAUCAAAUGCGUGCGCUGAGAGUGAAAUUCUCUGAGAUAUUGUGUAAUAUUCGAAGUAUUUUUUAUUCAAAUGUAGGGAUUAAGAGACCAUUAAAAAUCUCUGUGAUAGAUAGUGGAGACUGUUCACCCUGGGUUAGACCAGCCUGGUAAAACUACGCGCGUCCAUGCGAGAUCUCGUGAUAGUGUGGUCGAUCGCUCCGGUCAACAAAAACGUAGCUACAAUCCAACCAUGCGUCAGGAAUUGGCAGUGGCGCAAUGACUUGGGACGAAGCUGGGGUUAGAUAAUAAGAAUAAGCGCACUCCAGAUUUUACAUGUUGUAUGACCAAUGUUAUGACAAAAGCAUUUCUGGUACAUGGCUAUUAGAACCGGUGACCUUAUAUUUAAGCCUUCUCAGUGGAAACGAGGGGAUAAAAUAUCAUUUAUACCGGCAGUGUAGAAGUAAAUAUUGUUUACGUGUGAGUAGAUAUCCUCAGCAUGGGUAACUUUACAGAUCCAACCAUGAAUUCCCCAAAUGCCUCCAUGUCAACGAUCGAGAAGGGGGUGGGAAGGGGUCCACUAGAUAUGAGCAUCUUUUGGGAGUACCGCCUCACGACGACCCUUUAUAAAUACAUUCCGCCUGUACUAAUCAUAACCGGGACCUGUCUCAACAGUUUAACCAUUACUGUUCUCCUUAAACGGAAAUUUGGUAAAUCAUCAACGAGAAUCUUGCUUAUUGUUAUAGCUGUCGCAGACACCGCGGUCCUGUGGACUGGCCUACUGCGACACUGGCUGCUCUAUACCAUUGACUUGGAUGUGAGGCUUCUAACAGAUCUUGCAUGUCCAGUCCACUUUUUCUUCACAAGUUUCUUCAACCACUUUUCAAGCUGGACCAUCAUGCUGUUAACCAUUGAGAGGUGCAUCUCUGUAACCUUUCCUAUAAAAGCUAGGAUUAUCUGCACAGGAAAAUGGACAAUCGUCACAAUAACAGCAGUUUUUUCAAUCCUGUUUAUCCUAAAUUCACACAUACUCAUGUUCUACAGGAUCGACCCCGAAAGUCCGAGAGCUGCAUUUGGCAUUCUGUGUUUUCCGACAACCGAAAACUACCAGAAAUUCUGGGCAAAUAUAUGGUCCUGGAUAGACCUACUCUCAUCAUCGUUUAUACCAUUCCUUGUAAUAAUUCUGUGCAACUGUUCAAUUCUACACCAAGUCAUUCUAAGUAAUAAAAAGAGAAAAAGUCUCCAGCAUCCGGGGCAAGGUGCAGAGAGUCAGACAGCACAGAUGAUGAGCAUGACCUACAUGUUAGCUACUGUUAGCAUAGUGUUUAUCGUAUUAACGUUACCAGAACGCAUGUACUUGUUAUUCGUUUUCAUUUUUAACACUGAUUUCACUUUGCAGCAAAGAAUCAGAUUGAUUCUUGCCCAUUGUUUUACGAUUUCAUUUCAAUACACCAAUAAUACAAUAAAUUUUCUGCUGUACUGCGUUAGUGGAACGCAAUUUCGAACUGAGGUAUACCGGAUGUUCCGAGCAUGAUUCUGCGACUGUCAUUAGGUUACACAGAUUCAACUAUAAAGCAAUGCAUCCGAAUACAAUACUUGCUCAGUUUACCACCACAAUCUACAAAACAACGACUGAGAAGAACCUCUGUGACGGAGAUUGAAUAUUGCCAUUGAUAUUCAAGGUGGCAGACACUAUGGCCGUCAUUCUUUGAGCAAUGACAUGUUACCAUCUAGCACUAUCAUUGAUUGAUUCACAUUGCGAAAUACGUAAUUUGCAUUGCUGCAAAUUGUCUUGGUUACUGAAAAUCGGUUUCUCUGUUAUCCGGCUAGUGAUGACGGACGUGAAAGCAUUAGCUUGGAGGCAUUUUCACACGAAUCUUAGGCAGAAAUGCAUUAAAAGACGGUUUCACAUGAUACUCGUGCACUUUCCGAGUACAAGCAGAACAGUACUAUGCUUACACCCAGAACACUGCUUGUACUCAGAAAUCACACGAGGGUGGUUCAACCAUUACUUGAGUAAAGUGCAAAGAAGGGAAAUUGACGACGACAUGUACAUCAGCGGAAGUCCUAACACUUGUAUUAUCUUCUUUAUAUGUUAACAAAAGGGGAUGAUUAUAGUGUUACGAAAACCGCCAACGUGACCAAGAAUCGGAAUGACGGUAUGUCUCUAUUGCCUCCCUGGUACAACCCAUUGGGAGCGUCCAAUAUUUAAAGCCUGCCCAUAGGCUUUCGAACAGGUCAGACACCACGGAGAUUGCGCUGAGAGUGAAAUUCUCUGAGAUAUUGUAUAGGCAAAAUAUUCCAGUGCAUGGCUAUUGACACCAGUGACCGUAUAUUAAGAUCUCUCUGGCAUUCUGGAAACUAGGGGGAGAACACCAUUUUUUUCACCGACAGUGCAAAGAUAAAUACUUAAGUAGAUAUUCUCACUGUGGGUAACUUUACAGAUCAAGCCAUGGCUUCCCCAAUGCAUCUUGAGGAAAAACCCAGAAUCUCAGGAUGCUUUUCUAUUGCUACGCAGCCUGAGACUUAGUGGUCGCUAUGUACUUAUAAACCUGGAUCUGAAUGUCAAAUGGGUCGUCGCUCUCGCGUCCGUUCAUUCGUCAUCUGCUGACACACCUGGCCAUGCUGCUGGCUGGGAUCGAUAUUUCAAGGCGAUGGUUCACUGAGCCAAGGCAAGUUAUGUCUUUUAAAUAGCUGAAGAGAUGCCACUGGCGGCUGUGUUAGUCUCAUCAGCUGCAGGCCUAUACAGCACAGAUCUAUAUACACAAGCAAAAAUAUGCUUUGAAAUUUCGUUCUCAACACAGGUCAAAACAGAAAUUUUCGGCAAAAAUAACUUGUAUUUCUCAUUAAAUAUAAUGAAAUUGGGAUUGUUCGUCGUGUGGUUGCUGUUUACAGGAUCCAUCGUCUUUUUUGAUUCGCCAGACGGUUGGGGAACAUCCGAAGACGAGUCGCCAGCACCACGACCGCCACCACCCGUGACUCCAGAUAACCCGGGGCCAAUACUUGCGCGGCUUUGCAGCGACAUUUCGGAGGGGGAGCCAUUGUGCGCCCCCGCCAAUUCCCGACGCCGUGUUUGACAGUAGCUCGUUUACAGUUAGGCUACAUGUUGAUAUGAUUCAAUGACAUCAAACCUUUUUAAGGGGACAUUGGACCCUUUUAUGGGUCCCAUUUCUGACGUAAUGUGCAACUUUUACACGCGGGAAAAAAUAUUUUGAAAUCAGUUUCUCCAUAGUACUCUUGUUUUCCCCAUUGCCCGCUAAUUUGUCAAACAGAAUUUCACACCUAUGGCCUAUCAGGCAUUUUCGUGUUUCGUUUUUCCGAUGUUACGCCUAAGCAUAUACAUGUACUGCAAAAAUAUUAAAAAAUCCAUUUGGUAAA